GUGGCGGACGGGUGAGGAACGCGUGAGAACCUGCCUCAAGGUCGGGGACAACAGUUGGAAACGACUGCUAAUACCGGAUGAGCCUUCGGGUAAAAGAUUUAUCGCCUAGAGAGGGGCUCGCGUCUGAUUAGCUAGAUGGUGAGGUAAAGGCUUACCAUGGCGACGAUCAGUAGCUGGUCUGAGAGGAUGAGCAGCCACACUGGGACUGAGACACGGCCCAGACCCCUACGGGAGGCAGCAGUGGGGAAUUUUCCGCAAUGGGCGAAAGCCUGACGGAGCAAUACCGCGUGAGGGAGGAAGGCUCUUGGGUUGUAAACCUCAAAACUUAGGGAAGAAAAAAAUGACGGUACCUAAUGUAAGCAUCGGCUAACUCCGUGCCAGCAGCCGCGGUAAUACGGAGGAUGCAAGCGUUAUCCGGAAUCAUUGGGCGUAAAGAGUCCGUAGGUGGCACUUCAAGUCUGCUUUCAAAGACCGAAGCUCAACUUCGGAAAGGGAGUGGAAACUGAAGAGCUAGAGUAUAGUAGGGGUAGAGGGAAUUCCUAGUGUAGCGGUGAAAUGCGUAGAGAUUAGGAAGAACACCAGUGGCGAAGGCGCUCUACUGGGCAUAUACUGACACUGAGGGACGAAAGCUAGGGGAGCGAAAGGGAUUAGAUACCCCUGUAGUCCUA
RNAcentral lists this ribosomal RNA (668 nucleotides) under uncultured Chroococcales cyanobacterium. Its description in RNAcentral is "bacterial SSU rRNA". It matches the Rfam family "Bacterial small subunit ribosomal RNA", at positions 95 to 798 of the family's 1533-position model. Lineage: Bacteria; Bacillati; Cyanobacteriota; Cyanophyceae; Chroococcales. The record is from RNAcentral.